Rhagoletis zephyria (snowberry fruit fly) is the source of this 153-nucleotide long non-coding RNA. RefSeq lists it as uncharacterized. NCBI's taxonomy places the organism in Eukaryota, Metazoa, Arthropoda, Insecta, Diptera, Tephritidae. The record is from RefSeq and is a predicted model, not a curated record.
CGCAGUGAGAAGCAUUUUGCUUGAGUUUGGCUGAACACACACCUUUCUUUAAAAUAUUGGAAGCGGAAUCCUACGGAUGAACUUUGGAAUAAAGUAACAACAAAACUACAUCAAUCAAAAAAAUACGCUUUGUGGAAAAAUAUUAAAUCAAUG